This 370-nucleotide ribosomal RNA is filed under the name uncultured organism. Its description in RNAcentral is "bacterial SSU rRNA". It matches the Rfam family "Bacterial small subunit ribosomal RNA", at positions 526 to 896 of the family's 1533-position model. The record is from RNAcentral.
CGAGAGGCCCAAACGUUAUUCGGAAUUACUGGGCUUAAAGAGUUCGUAGGCGGCGCAGAAAGUAGGGUGUGAAAGCCCUCGGCUUAACCGAGGAAUUGCGCUCUAAACUACUGUGCUUGAGGAACCUAGAGGUGAGCAGAACAGAUGGUGGAGCGGUGAAAUGCGUUGAUAUCAUCUGGAAUACCGGAGGCGAAGGCGGCUCACUGGGGGUUUUCUGACGCUGAGGAACGAAAGCCAGGGUAGCGAACGGGAUUAGAUACCCCGGUAGUCCUGGCCGUAAACGAUGAGCACUAGGCCGGAGGGCUGCACAGCUUUCCGGCCGUAGCUAAAGUGUUAAGUGCUCCGCCUGGGGAGUAUGGUCGCAAGGCUG